CCUACGGGAGGCAGCAGUCGAGAAUCAUUCGCAAUGGGCGAAAGCCUGACGGUGCGACGCCGCGUGGAGGAUGAAGGCCCUAGGGUCGUAAACUCCUGUCACCAGGGAGUAAAUGUUUGCGUAGUAACUGACGCAGGCCUUGAUAGUACCUGAAGAGGAAGGGACGGCAAACUUCGUGCCAGCAGCCGCGGUAAUACGAAGGUCCCAAGCGUUGUUCGGAUUUACUGGGCGUAAAGCGUCUGUAGGCGGCGCGGUAAGUCAGAUGUGAAAUCCCGGGGCUCAACCCCGGAACUGCAUCCGAUACUGCCGUGCUUGAGGGUCGGAGGGGAGUCUGGAAUUCUCGGUGUAGCAGUGAAAUGCGUAGAUAUCGAGAGGAACACUAGUGGCGAAGGCGAGACUCUGGACGACACCUGACGCUGAGAGACGAAGGCCAGGGGAGCGAAAAGGAUUAGAUACCCUUGUAGUCCUGGCAGUAAACGGUGCACGCUUGGUGUGGGAGGGUUCGACCCCUUCCGUGCCGGAGCUAACGCGUUAAGCGUGCCGCCUGGGGAGUACGGUCGCAAGAUUAAAACUCAAACGAAUUGACGG
This 588-nucleotide ribosomal RNA is filed under the name uncultured bacterium. RNAcentral describes it as "bacterial SSU rRNA". It matches the Rfam family "Bacterial small subunit ribosomal RNA", at positions 338 to 916 of the family's 1533-position model. The record is from RNAcentral.